RNAcentral lists this ribosomal RNA (319 nucleotides) under uncultured eukaryote. Its description in RNAcentral is "partial 18S ribosomal RNA". It matches the Rfam family "Eukaryotic small subunit ribosomal RNA", at positions 1470 to 1796 of the family's 1831-position model. The record is from RNAcentral.
CCCUUAGAUGUUCUGGGCCACACGCGCGCUACACUGAUUGGUUCAACGAGUUAUUGUUUCCUUGCCCGGAAGGGUGUGGGUAAUCUUUUCAAUACCAAUCGUGAUGGGGCUUGAACAUUGUAAUUAUUGUUCAUCAACGAGGAAUCUCUAGUAAGUAGAAGUCAUUAGCUUCUGCUGAAUGCGUCCCUGGACUUUGUACACACCGCCCGUCGCACCUACCGAUGAAUCUUAUCUUUAGGCGUUUGGAGGCUGUUUUACUUCGGUUUAACGGUUGAAAUUCUCCGAAAGUUGAAAUUUAGAGGAAGGUGAAGUCGUAACA